This 745-nucleotide ribosomal RNA is filed under the name Vairimorpha ceranae. Its description in RNAcentral is "bacterial SSU rRNA". It matches the Rfam family "Microsporidia small subunit ribosomal RNA", at positions 52 to 840 of the family's 1311-position model. Lineage: Eukaryota; Fungi; Microsporidia; Nosematidae. The record is from RNAcentral.
GCAUGUUUUUGACAUUUGAAAAAUGGACUGCUCAGUAAUACUCACUUUAUUUUAUGUAAAUUUUUAAUUAACUACGUUAAAGUGUAGAUAAGAUGUUUACAGUAAGAGUGAGACCUAUCAGCUAGUUGUUAAGGUAAUGGCUUAACAAGGCUGUGACGGGUAACGGUAUUACUUUGUAAUAUUCCGGAGAAGGAGCCUGAGAGACGGCUACUAAGUCUAAGGAUUGCAGCAGGGGCGAAACUUGACCUAUGGAUUUUAUCUGAGGCAGUUAUGGGAAGUAAUAUUAUAUUGUUUCAUAUUUUAAAAGUAUAUGAGGUGAUUAAUUGGAGGGCAAAUCAAGUGCCAGCAGCCGCGGUAAUACUUGUUCCAAGAGUGUGUAUGAUGAUUGAUGCAGUUAAAAAGUCCGUAGUUUAUUUUUUUAAGAAGCAAUAUGAGGUGUACUGUAUAGUUGGGAGAAAGAUGAAAUGUGACGACCCUGACUGGACGAACAGAAGCGAAAGCUGUACACUUGUAUGUAUUUUUUGAACAAGGACGUAAGCUGGAGGAGCGAAGAUGAUUAGAUACCAUUGUAGUUCCAGCAGUAAACUAUGCCGACGAUGUGAUAUGAAAAUGUUAAUUUGUAUUACAUAAUAGAAAUUUGAGUUUUUUGGCUCUGGGGAUAGUAUGAUCGCAAGAUUGAAAAUUAAAGAAAUUGACGGAAGAAUACCACAAGGAGUGGAUUGUGCGGCUUAAUUUGACUCAACGC